This 312-nucleotide ribosomal RNA is filed under the name uncultured bacterium. Its description in RNAcentral is "bacterial SSU rRNA". It matches the Rfam family "Bacterial small subunit ribosomal RNA", at positions 28 to 339 of the family's 1533-position model. The record is from RNAcentral.
AGCGAACGCUGGCGGCGUACUUAACACAUGCAAGUCGAGCGGUAAGGCCCUUUCGGGGGGUACACGAGCGGCGAACGGGUGAGUAACACGUGGGUGACCUGCCCUCAGCUCUGGGAUAAGCCUGGGAAACCGGGUCUAAUACUGGAUAUGACUCCAUGACGCAUGUUGUGGGGUGGAAAGCCUUGUGCGGCUGGGGAUGGGCCCGCGGCCUAUCAGCUUGUUGGUGGGGUGAUGGCCUACCAAGGCGACGACGGGUAGCCGGCCUGAGAGGGCCGACCGGCCACACUGGGACUGAGACACGGCCCAGACUCC